RNAcentral lists this ribosomal RNA (1731 nucleotides) under metagenome. RNAcentral describes it as "bacterial LSU rRNA". It matches the Rfam family "Bacterial large subunit ribosomal RNA", at positions 288 to 2006 of the family's 2925-position model. The record is from RNAcentral.
CCCACCGGGGUUGAGGACAGUCAUCAAGAGUAAAUGAGGUAGAAGAAUGGAGCUGGCAAGCUCAGCCGCAGAAGGUGAAAGCCCUGUAAUCGAAACCUUGCAUACACGGGACUGUAUCCAGAGUACCACGAGACACGUGAAACCUUGUGGGAAGCAGGGGGGACCACCCUCCAAGCCAAAAUACUGAUAUCGACCGAUAGCGCAUAGUACCGUGAGGGAAAGGUGAAAAGAACCCCUGGCGGGGAGUGAAAGAGAACCUGAAACCGUAUGUCUACAAACAGUCGAAGUCUGUAUAUAUAUCAGGACGACGGCGUGCCUAUUGAAGAAUGAACCGACGAGUUACUGUUGCUAGCGAGGUUAAGUGGAAAACAUGGAGCCGCAGCGAAAGCGAGUCUGAACAGGGCGUUCAGUUAGUAAUAGUAGACCCGAAACCGUAGUGAUCUAUCCAUGGCCAGGUUGAAGCACAGGUAAAAUUGUGUGGAGGACCGAACUCGUGAGCGUUGAAAAGCUUUGGGAUGAGUUGUGGAUAGGGGUGAAAUGCCAAUCGAACACGGAGAUAGCUGGUUCUCCCCGAAAUAGCUUUAGGGCUAGCCUCGAGGUUGAGAGUAUAGGCGGUAGAGCACUGAUCGGGCUAGGGGCCAUACCGGUUACCGAACCUAGUCAAACUACGAAUGGCUAUACUUAUACUCGGGAGUCAGACAGUGAAUGAUAAGGUCCAUUGUCAAGAGGGAAACAGCCCAGAACACCGACUAAGGUCCCCAAUGUCAUACUAAGUGGCGAAGGAUGUGGAAUUUCCAAAACAACCAGGAUGUUGGCUUAGAAGCAGCCACCAUUUAAAGAGUGCGUAAUAGCUCACUGGUCGAGAGACGCUGCGCCGAAAAUGUCCGGGGCUAAAGUAUGAAACCGAAGUCGUGUCAUAUGCAGCAAUGUAUAUGGGUAGGGGAGCGUUCUCAUCGGAUUGAAGCAGUACCGUAAGGAGUUGUGGACUGGUGAGAAGUGAGAAUGUCGGUAUGAGUAGCGAAAAGAAUGGUGAGAAUCCAUUCCACCGAAAGCCUAAGGGUUCCUGAGCAACGAUCGUCGUCUCAGGGUAAGUCGGGACCUAAGCCGAGGCGGAAAAGCGUAGGCGAUGGACAACAGGUUGAAAUUCCUGUACCGGUGUGAAUCGUUUGAUCGAAGGAGUGACACAGUAAGGUAGGUCAGCACGCGAUUGGAAGUGCGUGUUUAAGCAUGUAGGUUGAGUUAUAGGCAAAUCCGUAGCUCUAAAAGCUGAGAUGUGAUGACGAGCUGUUUACAGCGAAGUGAUUGAUCCUACACUGUCGAGAAAAGCUUCUAGGUAGAGACACAUCGCCCGUACCAAAACCGACACAGGUAGGCGGGGAGAGAAUCCUAAGGUGCGCGGGAAAACCCUCGUUAAGGAACUCGGCAAAAUGCCUCCGUAACUUCGGGAAAAGGAGGACUCAUGUAGUGUGAAGGGCAGUAACGCGUGGAGCAUGAAUGAGUGGCACAAGAGAGGCGCAAGCGACUGUUUACCACAAACACAGGUGCCUGCUAAAGCGAAAGCUGAUGUAUAGGUGCUGACACCUGCCCGGUGCUGGAAGGUUAAGAGGAGGGGUUAGACUUCGGUCGAAGCUCUGAAUUGAAGCCCCAGUAAACGGCGGCCGUAACUAUAACGGUCCUAAGGUAGCGAAAUUCCUUGUCGGGUAAGUUCCGACCCGCACGAAAGGCGUAAUG